This 394-nucleotide ribosomal RNA is filed under the name Pichia sp. S4. RNAcentral describes it as "eukaryotic LSU rRNA". The stretch from base 105 to 257 matches the Rfam family "5.8S ribosomal RNA". The record is from RNAcentral. Lineage: Eukaryota; Fungi; Ascomycota; Pichiomycetes; Pichiales; Pichiaceae.
GUCUCCGUUGGUGAACCAGCAGUAGGAUCAUUAAGGUGAUUAACUAUAUACUGUGUGGACUAGAACCCAAUAAAGUGGAUAUUUACAAGAAGUCGUUAAGUUAAAACUUUCAACAACGGAUCUCUUGGCUCUCGCACCGAUGAAGAGCGCAGCGAAAUGCGAUAACUAAUGUGAAUUGCAGGCAUCGUGAAUCAUCGAGUUCUUGAACGCACAUUGCGCCCUGUGGUAUUCCGCAGGGCAUGCUUGUUUGAGCGUCAGUUCAAUCUUUGAGCUGGGGUUACUGUGGACGUGUCUGCGGUUUCCUUGAAAACGACGGUGUUGUGUUAACUACGUUUCACACGACCAUCCUUUUGACCUCAAAUCAAGUAGGAGUACCCGCUGAACUUAAGCAUAU